Molecule: long non-coding RNA, 2839 nt
Filed under: Sus scrofa (pig)
Lineage: Eukaryota; Metazoa; Chordata; Mammalia; Artiodactyla; Suidae
Description: lncRNA (ENSSSCG00025027104.1)
Source: RNAcentral
CUCUAAGACUAAAAUGACCUAAGUUGCAAGGACUGGGUGAUCUCAGUUUCUCUGGAAAGUACAGUGUUGUUUUUCAUGGUUGGUAGUAAACAAAGAGCAGAACGCACCACUUGUAACACUUAUAUAAAACAACCCUUCAGUUUAUGACCUAUUGUCCAAAUUAAUGGCGGCUCACAGGGAACCUAUCUAUGGGUGGUGAUGCUGAAUCUAAUAAAAUGCAGCAUUCACAAUUUCUGUAAAAGGCAAUAGUAGCUAGAUCCAACCAUUGCUGUGGUUGCAUUGAGGAUGAACACUUCCACUGUCAAGACAGAAAAGACAUUAUUUCAAUAUGCCUUAAAAGUAUGGAAGGUCUGGAGUUCUCUUGUGAUGCGGUGGGUUAAGGAUCCAGCAUCAUCACUGCAGCGGUUUGGAUUACUGCUGUGGCACAGAUUUGAUCCCUGGUCUGGGAACUUCCACAUGCCCUGGGUGAGACUGGAAAAAAAAAAAAAAAAAAAGUAUGGAAGAUCUAUAUUCCAAAGAGAUCAGUAGUAUUAAUAUAUUAUAUUAAUCUCUUGCCAUUAUUUGAAGCACAGAUAGGUAACUAAUGAAAAAUAACUGAGAGAUAGUAGACUCAAUUCUUUCUGGUGUGUGAACUUUGGUGCAUGAACUCUUUUUGGUGCCCUAGUAAAAUAUAGGUAUAGAACUCUUUGAAAUUCUCAUUUAAUUCAAACACUGCUUUCUUUAUCUUUUUGUGUAAGUAGUAAAUUAUCAAAGAAACACCAGUGAUAUGGGGGCUAACAUUGGUAUCAGUCAAAACUGGACAGCUCAAAGAGAUUCAUAAACUCUGCCCUCAAUUUGUGUCUUUGACAUAGCUUCUUGUUUCCACAUAGACACUUGACAUUUGUUAUCUAUAAGAAAGGAAUGAAUUUAUACAAAGAACUGGUAUCCAUGGCCUAGAGAACUAGCAUGACAAAAUGACCAAGUAUAUUAGCAAUAACAAUAAUAAUUGAACUUGCCGUAAAUAGUACUUAAUGUGUCAGGAGUAGCUUUAAGCCCUUAAUGUAAAUUAACUCAUUUAUUCCUUGUAAAACCCUAUAAGGUAAUUAUUAUUUCCAAUUUACAGAGGAAAAAUCUAAAGAACAAUGAGAUAUAAGCAUUUUAACAUUACAUACUUAGGAAGUGCCAGAAUUUGGAUCUAGGCAUUCUGGCUCAGAGGCAACAUUUUACCCAUCUGAAUUCAUUCAAUUAGAUAAUCACUUUUUAAGUCUUUAAUCAAAUAUUUAUCAAAUAUGCACUAUGUUCUUGGACUCCAGGACAUACAUAAAUGAGUUAAUUAGAUAUGGUACCUGCUCUUAUAGAAUGUAAGAUCUAGCAGUAAACACAAACAUUAGAUAAUAACAUAAAUAAAUGUAAAACUGCAAUGUGACAGGUAUACAAGGAGUCAAUAAUGUGCCGUAAGAGUCAAUCAGGGAGACUGGGGGAAGUUUUGCUGAAGAACCUGACAUAUGCACUAGAUAUGAAGUACAGACAGACUUGAACUAGACGAAGAGGAAAGGAAGAAAUUUCAAGGCAGAGAAAAUACUAUAUACAAAUCUCUAUUGUGAGUGGGAACAGGAAAAGUACUAGUAAUUGAGGGAAGGCCAGUGACAGGGCAAUCUAAGAGAGCAAGAGGGAGUCGAGUUCAAGACAACACUCAAAAUGUUGGUAGGUCCAGACUGGGCAGGAGUUUGGUAGGCCAUGUCAGGCUAUGUCUUUUCCUUAUGAUCUUUGCUGACACCUAAAAGAUUUUAAAUGGAGGCUGGAAUGGUAUAGAUUUGGAUAGGUUUGUGUUUGAAAAGGAUCACUCUAACUCUAAUUGAUAAUGGGUUGGAAGAGCACCAAUGGAUAUUACUAAAUGAGUGGGAAGAUGAUUAAGUGGUCCAGGGUAAGAGAUGAAGGUAGUCUGGACUGGAUUGAUGGUGGUGAUAAAGAGAAAUGGACAGAGCUAUAGCAGACAGAAAAAUCAAUAGGAUGCUCUUGCAAAAUUAUCGAAGUUAAUUUGAUCAUGCACAAUUAUUUUGUUCUUUUUGACAGGUAAAAGUAGCCACCAACUUUUGAGGUAGGUGAAGAGAGCGUUUACUCUGACAUAGCUUUGUUACUAGUUAUAAUGCAAGCAAGUAUUAGACCAAAUUGAGUCAUAAAAUAGACAUUUUAAACAUUAAAUAGUUAUUAGUAGGGAGGCUUACAACAAUAGUUUAUAAAUCUGUAAGAUUAAUUCAGUUCCAGCUCUCUUUUUAUUUGCUAUGAUGUAUUAGACGUCUAUUGCUGCAUAACAAAUUACCCCCAAACUUAGUGACUCAAAAUAACAAUAAAUAUUAUUAUCUUAUAGUUUCUAUAGAUAAGGGAUAAAUCAAGUUGGCUGGGUAGUUUUGGUUCAUGGUCUUCCAAAAGUCAAGAUGUUGGCUGGAGCUAUUGUUAACUGAAGGCUUGACUAGGCCUGGCUAGUUCAAAUGGCUCACUCACAUAGCUAGAAUGUUAGUGCUGACUAUUGGCAGUAUACCUGAUUUCCACCCCAUUCGGAUCCCUCCAUAAAAGCUUCACAGCAUGAUGGCUGUCUUCCUUCAAAAUAGAUAAUCCAAGAGAGAAAAAGGCAGAGUCUGUAACACCUUUUAAGACUUGGCCUUGGGAGUUCCCACUUGGCAGUGGUUAAUAUAUCCAACUAGGAACCAUGAGGUUGCAGGUUUGAUCCCUGGCCUUGCUCAGUGGGUUAAGGAUCUGGCGUUGCGUGAGCUGUGGUGUGCGUCGCAGACAUGGCUUGGAUCCUGCAUUGCUGUGGCUGUGGUGUAGGCCAGUGGCUACAGCUCCGAUUAGACCCCUAGCC